UCCUCUGAAGAGCCGUUCGAGACUAGGACGUUGAUAGGCAAGGUGUGUAAGCGUUGUGAGGCGUUGAGCUAACUUGUACUAAUGACUCGUGAGGCUUAACCAU
RNAcentral lists this ribosomal RNA (103 nucleotides) under Shewanella pneumatophori. RNAcentral's name for it is "partial 23S ribosomal RNA". It matches the Rfam family "Bacterial large subunit ribosomal RNA", at positions 2823 to 2925 of the family's 2925-position model. The record is from RNAcentral. Lineage: Bacteria; Pseudomonadati; Pseudomonadota; Gammaproteobacteria; Alteromonadales; Shewanellaceae.